RNAcentral lists this ribosomal RNA (494 nucleotides) under uncultured bacterium. RNAcentral's name for it is "bacterial SSU rRNA". It matches the Rfam family "Bacterial small subunit ribosomal RNA", at positions 386 to 896 of the family's 1533-position model. The record is from RNAcentral.
ACCCAGCAACGCCGCGUGAAGGAUGAAGUAUUUCGGAAUGUAAACUUCGNNNNNAAUGGGAAGAAUAAAUGACGGUACCAUUUCUAAGGUCCGGCUAACUACGUGCCAGCAGCCGCGGUAAUACGUAGGGACCAAGCGUUGUUCGGAUUUACUGGGCGUAAAGGGCGCGUAGGCGGCCCCGCAAGUYACUUGUGAAAUCUCCGGGCUUAACUCGGAACGGCCAAGUGAAACUGCGGACUAGAGUGUGGAAGGGGCAAUCGGAAUUCUUGGUGUAGCGGUGAAAUGCGUAGAUAUCAAGAGGAACACCUGAGGUGAAGACGGGUUGCUGGGCCAACACUGACGCUGAGGCGCGAAACCAGGGGAGCAAACGGGAUUAGAUACCCCGGUAGUCCUGGCCCUAAACGAUGAAUACUUGGUGUCUGGAGUCAUUAAUGCUCCGGGUGCCGUCGCUAACGUUUUUAGUAUUCCGCCUGGGGAGUACGCUCGCAAGAGUG